RNAcentral lists this non-coding RNA (30 nucleotides) under Homo sapiens (human). Lineage: Eukaryota; Metazoa; Chordata; Mammalia; Primates; Hominidae. The record is from RNAcentral.
UGGCCAGGGCCAGAUGCUGUUCUUCACACU